GACAUGACUCUCGGCAAUGGAUAUCUCGGCUCUCGCAUCGAUGAAGAGCGCAGCGAAAUGCGAUACGUGGUGCGAAUUGCAGAAUCCCGUGAACCAUCGAGUCUUUGAACGCAAGUUGCGCCCGAGGCCAACCGGCCAAGGGCACGUCUGCCUGGGCGUCAAGC
Molecule: ribosomal RNA, 164 nt
Filed under: Dendrobium devonianum
Lineage: Eukaryota; Viridiplantae; Streptophyta; Magnoliopsida; Asparagales; Orchidaceae
Description: 5.8S ribosomal RNA
Rfam family: 5.8S ribosomal RNA
About the family: 5.8S ribosomal RNA (5.8S rRNA) is a component of the large subunit of the eukaryotic ribosome. It is transcribed by RNA polymerase I as part of the 45S precursor that also contains 18S and 28S rRNA.
Source: RNAcentral